RNAcentral lists this transfer RNA (72 nucleotides) under Candidatus Aenigmatarchaeota archaeon. RNAcentral's name for it is "tRNA-His". It matches the Rfam family "tRNA". From Rfam's summary of the family: Transfer RNA (tRNA) molecules are approximately 80 nucleotides in length. Their secondary structure includes four short double-helical elements and three loops (D, anti-codon, and T loops). Lineage: Archaea; Nanobdellati; Candidatus Aenigmatarchaeota. The record is from RNAcentral.
GGCUGCGGUGGUGUAGUGAAAACACAAAGGGCUGUGAAUCCUUUAUCCCGGGUUCAAUUCCCGGCUGCGUCC